This 3361-nucleotide long non-coding RNA is filed under the name Equus asinus (donkey). Its description in RNAcentral is "lncRNA (ENSEASG00005026948.1)". Lineage: Eukaryota; Metazoa; Chordata; Mammalia; Perissodactyla; Equidae. The record is from RNAcentral.
AUUUAAUCAAUUCAUAAUGUCUUCCCUUAUCCUAUUUAGUGUUUUUAACUUUCUAUUUCACAUUGCCUGCUAUUAAUAUUGCCUCUCUUGAUGUCUUUCUGUGUAUGUCCAUUGUUUUAUUUGGUCUGAUUUUGCUUUUUUGGUCCUUCUUUUGUUUUCAAACCUCUUUUAUUACUGUAUUUUAAGUAUGUAUUUUGCAAAGUGCGAAAUAUGCUCUUUUUUUAACUGAAUGUGACAGUCUUUUUUAAUAAGAGAACUUCAGUCCAAUUACAUUUUGUGUAAUGCCUGAUAUGCUUGACUUUAUCUUUUGCAUCUUAUUUGUUACUUAUUCGUCUUACCAUGUUGUUUCCCCUUUUAGCUCUUUCUUCUGCUUGCCUGUCUGAUCAAGUCUCAUUCAUCUCCUUUUGCCUUUGUUUUUCUGCAGGUUCCAUUGGGAGUGUUUUUUCUUUUCAUAAAUGGUUACCUUCCCUUCCCUUGCUCUCAUAAUCAGAUAGUAUUACUGGACUAUCAUAUGAAAGCAAGAUAUUAAUUAUUUUCCUUACCAAGAUCCUAGAUUUCCCCCUUUUCCUCCUCCAUUUGAUAAGACUUUUAGAGAACUUUCGUUUUCUUCCUUGUUCAACAUUCUUUCUUUCCUAUCCUCCAGUUCUACUCCCCUCUUCCUCUUUUUCCAUCUUGAGAUUUCUAUUCUGGUCUAUGUCUUGUUUGGCUACAGCCUUUUCUUGUGGGUUUCCCUCUGAAGAAGUACACAAGUAGUAAACUCUUUGUUGUAUAUCUCCACUCUUUCUUUCAUGCUGUCGGGUGAGUGAUAUCUUGUGUUGAAGUCAUUGGUAGUGGUCCUAUUCUGAGGGUAAUCUAUAGAUGCUAGUUCAUUCUUGUUUCCAGUUUCCAUUGUUGCAAAUAAGCCUAAUGCAACUCUGAUACUUUUUCCUUUGUAGAUAAUUUGUUCAUAACUGCUUGGAAACUUGUGAGGUUUUUUUCUUAUAUCCUUAGCAUUCAGGAAUUUUAUCAGACUUAGGUCUUAAACUAGGGAAAUUUUUUUCUGAUGAUUUUUAAUUAUUGCCUUACCUCCAUUUGUUCUUUCUUCUCCCUUUGAAAUUCCCUUGGAUCUGAUUUCCAUUUCCUUUUGAGGUUCACUUUGUUUUGGCUUGUGCUUUGAGAUAUUUCUUAGCACUUAAUUUUUCAGACCACUGAUUCAGAUUUCAAUAGAGACUAUCCUCUCCUUCAGUUCUUCUCCUGAAUUUUUUAUUUUGGAAACUGUGUUUUCAAUUCCAGAAAGAAUUUUUUAUCAUGGUCUUGACUCUUAAUUCAAGAUGUCACUCUUGCCUCCAGCAGCACUCCAUCAGUGGGAUGUUUGUUCUGAUGACUGCUCUUCUCUCAGCUAUUGGAUGGGUUCUUUUUCUAUAUGAACUCGUUGGAGCUCAGAUUCUAAAUGACGGGAAUCUCAUAGACCAUGACUCUCUCUGCCUACGGGGGCCUGUAAUUUACAGCAGGAAGCUGCCAGACCCUGCUGCUGGUCUUGAAGGAAACUCCCCUGCUCUCAAGUUUCCUGGUACUCCCACAGUCUGAGAAACAGGGAGAUCCAGUCUUCCUGCACAGCUCUUUCUUGGCCUUGUAAGGGCAGGAAGAUCUGAGCCAACAUCGUCUUAUGUCUGGAGAUCACAGAUCUCUGACCUCCCAGCAUUUCCCAACAAACGCUGCUUUUAGUCCUCACUAGCUCCCUGAUGAUGGUUUUUCCCACUCCAUGAGGGGAAAAGCAGUGGACUAUUUCUCUCUGCUAGAACGCCAACAGACCCUGAGUCCCUCACGUCUAUUCAACUACCCAUGGAAGCCAGCAGUCAUUAGGCUGUUGAGAGGCAGGUAGCCUAGAGCUGAGGAUGAAGAGAAAGGGAGCUGUUGUCAUGUCAACAUGUGACCAGAAUCUCCUUUAGGCUAACUGUGUUCUAUAACUCAAAUUAACUUUUAUUUAAGUCUCUCACUCCAUCAGGUAGUAAAGAUUUAAUCUCAGUCCAUUCAAGAUCUUCCCUCAUUUUUCCUGGAACCAGAUCAUGGUUCUAGAGUACUUACUUAGUGCUGAGAUGUUGGGACAAGAGAAGUAGGCAUCUGAUCUGAGUCAUCUAUCCGUUUUGCAGGCUCCAUCUGCAUAGAGUCAGACUGUCUGUGUUAGCUAUUAUUACAUGUUCUAACACCUAUAUUCAUGUUAUAAAAAUGCUACAUAAAAGACAAUGAGGCUAGGGUUCCUGGCUGAGCCCAGGUAGUCCGUGCUUUGAAGCUCAGUUAGGGCUUGUCUGCCAAAAUGACAAUAACAUCUGCCGAGAAUAUAUCUGAAUUAGGGACUGAGGAGUUCCCUGGUGAAAAAGGAUUCAUCCUAAGGCAAAGCAAAGUCAGGCACACAAGUCUAUUUCAGUAACCAUGUGUCAGAAUUUGAGCACAGCUUGAUAUCUUUUGCUCACAUUGUACUCCAGCUUCAAGUCCCAGGUUCUCAGGUUCAAGUCCCAGGAAGGUGAGAGGUCAAGAAAAACUAAAACUUGUUUUACUGGGAACUCAGUAGAACACUGACAGUACAAAACAGUAAUAUUUGGGACUUGCACGGCAAAGAUGGGUGAGAGUCUUUUUGUUUAAUUUGGGGGUUGAUGCUGCUUGUUUGUGUUCCUAAUUUCAGCUGGGUCCACUUUGAGGACAGUAACUUAUCAAAGGUAUCAGCAAAACCGGCAAACUGGGGAGAAACAGCACCAAAGACAGCAACAGACUCUGAUAUUUUGGGAGCUCAAGCAGAGGGGAAGGAAAAUGGCAAAUGCUCUAUGACAUCCUAAGUUCUCAAGCAACUCUCCACCAGCCCCAUUUCUCUCCCUGAAAGAACUGAGGAACACACUGAGUGGAACUCAAGUUACCUCAUGAGAGAGCUGAGAUCACAAGGCAGCUGAGUAACCUGAAUUCCAAUGGGAAACAAGCUCCUUAAAGGAGAGGUGGAGAACAUGAACCUUUUGACCUGUGCGAGAUUAGUGGAAAAACUGGUGGCCACCAUACAAACAGGCUUCCAGAGGAUCCUCACAAAAAGACUGGAGACAGGGCAAGAGAUGUGAGAGAGCCACCUCACUAAUGCAGAAACCACAAUAAAGGUUCUUGCCCACAUUUUCCCCUCUUCCUUGGCCUCCUGACGUACCGUGUGUUCCCUUUGUGGCCCUGCGGAGUGUGCUGUGUCUUCUCUCUCUAGGGAUCUACUUUAGCAAGCUGAUUAUAAAUUGGAUGGAAAAGUAAAAGAUCAAGAAGCAAAUAGGAGAACACCUGCUGCCAAUAAUCGAGAAUUUCAAUAAAGUUAUAAGAAUUCAAGUGCAGACGUAUGGGACCAAAUGGAAAACUCAGA